Molecule: transfer RNA, 71 nt
Filed under: Marmota monax (woodchuck)
Lineage: Eukaryota; Metazoa; Chordata; Mammalia; Rodentia; Sciuridae
Description: tRNA.Thr
Source: RNAcentral
GGGGUAGUGGCUCAGUGGCAGAGCACUUGCCUCGUGUGUGUGAGGCACUGAGUUGGAUUCUCAACACCACA